RNAcentral lists this ribosomal RNA (253 nucleotides) under uncultured bacterium. RNAcentral describes it as "partial 16S ribosomal RNA". It matches the Rfam family "Bacterial small subunit ribosomal RNA", at positions 524 to 776 of the family's 1533-position model. The record is from RNAcentral.
UACGUAGGGGGCAAGCGUUGUCCGGAAUCAUUGGGCGUAAAGCGCGUGUAGGCGGCUUGGUAGGUCCGCUCUGAAAGCCCGGGGCUCAACCCCGGGAGGCGGGUGGAUACUGUCAAGCUCGAGUCCGGAAGAGGCGAGUGGAAUUCCUGGUGUAGCGGUGAAAUGCGCAGAUAUCAGGAGGAGCACCAAUGGCGAAGGCAGCUCGCUGGGACGUGACUGACGCUGAGACGCGAAAGCGUGGGGAGCAAACAGG